GAUGAACGCUGGCGGCGUGCCUAAUACAUGCAAGUCGAGCGAACAGAUGAGGAGCUUGUUCCUCUGACGUUAGCGGCGGACGGGUGAGUAACACGUGGAUAACCUACCUAUAAGACUGGGAUAACUUCGGGAAACCGGAGCUAAUACCGGAUAAUAUAUUGAACCGCAUGGUUCAAUAGUGAAAGACGGUUUUGCUGUCACUUAUAGAUGGAUCCGAGAUGCAUUAGCUAGUUGGUAAGGUAACGGCCUACCAAGGCAACGAUGCGUAGCCGACCUGAGAGGGUUAUCGGCCACACGGGUACUGAGACACGGUCCAUAGUCCGACGGGAGGCGCCAGUAGGGCCUCUGCCGCUAUGGGCGAAGGCCUGACGGAGCAACACCGAGUGAUUGAUGAAGGUCUUCGGAUCGUAAAACUCUGUUAUGAGGGAAGAACAAAUGUGUAAGUAACUAUGCACGUCUUGACGGUACCGAAUCAGAAAGCCACGGCUAACUACGUG
This 497-nucleotide ribosomal RNA is filed under the name uncultured bacterium. Its description in RNAcentral is "partial 16S ribosomal RNA". It matches the Rfam family "Bacterial small subunit ribosomal RNA", at positions 28 to 507 of the family's 1533-position model. The record is from RNAcentral.